AGCAGCCGCGGUAAUACGAAGGGUGCAAGCGUUACUCGGAAUUAUUGGGCGUAAAGAGCUCGUAGGCGGCCCGGUAAGUCAACUGUGAAAGCUCCGGGCUCAACUCGGAGAGGCCAGUUGAUACUGCCGUGGCUAGAGUCCGGUAGGGGAGCGUGGAAUUCCUGGUGUAGCGGUGAAAUGCGCAGAUAUCAGGAGGAACACCAGCGGCGAAGGCGGCGCUCUGGGCCGGAACUGACGCUGAGGAGCGAAAGCGUGGGGAGCA
RNAcentral lists this ribosomal RNA (262 nucleotides) under uncultured bacterium. RNAcentral describes it as "partial 16S ribosomal RNA". It matches the Rfam family "Bacterial small subunit ribosomal RNA", at positions 510 to 770 of the family's 1533-position model. The record is from RNAcentral.